CGGCGGACGGGUGAGUAACACGUGGAUAACCUACCUAUAAGACUGGGAUAACUUCGGGAAACCGGAGCUAAUACCGGAUAAUAUAUUGAACCGCAUGGUUCAAUAGUGAAAGACGGUUUUGCUGUCACUUAUAGAUGGAUCCGCGCCGCAUUAGCUAGUUGGUAAGGUAACGGCUUACCAAGGCAACGAUGCGUAGCCGACCUGAGAGGGUGAUCGGCCACACUGGAAAUGAGACACGGUCCAGACUCCUACGGGAGGCAGCAGUA
RNAcentral lists this ribosomal RNA (266 nucleotides) under uncultured Staphylococcus sp. RNAcentral's name for it is "partial 16S ribosomal RNA". It matches the Rfam family "Bacterial small subunit ribosomal RNA", at positions 96 to 355 of the family's 1533-position model. Lineage: Bacteria; Bacillati; Bacillota; Bacilli; Caryophanales; Staphylococcaceae. The record is from RNAcentral.